AAUAGUCUCGAUGGGCUACCACCGGCCUUUCAAUGGUGUCAUUGUCUCUUUCCCUUCCUUCCUCUCUCUCUCCUCUCUUUCUCUCAUUCCCUCUCCUUCUUCCGGUGUUCCGAUUUGGAUGGUUGAACCAUCCCAAUUUAUGGCCGGUAGAGCUCGGAAUGCCUUGAACCAUCCUAGUUUGGGAUAGUUCGGAGAACGCUAAACUUGAGUGGUAGCUGGAGGAAAGGAUCU
Molecule: long non-coding RNA, 231 nt
Filed under: Elaeis guineensis (African oil palm)
Lineage: Eukaryota; Viridiplantae; Streptophyta; Magnoliopsida; Arecales; Arecaceae
Description: long non-coding RNA (EGUI_LNC059685)
Source: RNAcentral